UAAUGGAUAUAUCUCUACUCUGCUAACAAUUUUUCUGAUUUCUGUUUAUUAUGGUUGUCUUGCAGUUGGCUACUAUUUGGUUGGAGCGCAAGGAUUCCCUAGCUGGAGCAGUACUUUUGGCCUUAAGGCAACAUUGUUAUGGAGAAAUUUGAGAGGAGGGGCAUGAAGUAACAAACCAAGUAGGGGAACAUAUCACCUCAAGUACGAUUCCGGAUUACUCGCAGCAGCCCCCUAUUUAGGAACUAAUUGGAAGGGAUCUUCAUGAUAUAUAAUGAAUGGAAAUUCAGACAUAUUUCGAGGAGGCUUGCAACAACACUAGAGUAAUUGGUACAUGAAGUAGAUCGAGGAAGAUCCCUGCAAAGUUCAUCUUGAAGUAGAGGAAAAAAACUAACUUGUAAAG
Rosa chinensis is the source of this 400-nucleotide long non-coding RNA. RefSeq lists it as uncharacterized. The transcript has 4 exons. The record is from RefSeq and is a predicted model, not a curated record. NCBI's taxonomy places the organism in Eukaryota, Viridiplantae, Streptophyta, Magnoliopsida, Rosales, Rosaceae.